Molecule: ribosomal RNA, 472 nt
Filed under: uncultured bacterium
Lineage: Bacteria
Description: partial 16S ribosomal RNA
Rfam family: Bacterial small subunit ribosomal RNA
Source: RNAcentral
GAUGAACGCUGGCGGCGUGCCUAACACAUGCAAGUCGAACGCUGAAGCUUGGUGCUCGCAUUGGGUGGAUGAGUGGCGAACGGGUGAGUAAUACGUGAGUAACUUGCACUUGAGUCUGGGAUAAGCCUGGGAAACUGGGUCCAAUACAGGAUAUGACAGGUCACCGCAUGGAUGUGUGUGGCAAGGGCUUUACUGGGAUUGGAUGGGCUCACGGCCUAUUAGCUGGUUGGUGGGGUAAUGGCUCACCAAGGCGAAGACGGAUAGCCGGCCUGAGAGGGUGGACAGCCACACUGCGACUGAGGCACGGCCCAGACUGGUACGGGAGGCAACAGUGGAAAGUAUUGCACAGUGAGCGCGAGCCUGUUACGACGGCGCCGGGUGAGGGAUGACGGCCUUCGGGUUAUAAACCUCUUUCAGCACAGAAGAAGCGGAAGUGACGGUACGUACAGAAGAAGCGCCGGCUAACUACGUG